Molecule: long non-coding RNA, 606 nt
Organism: Symphalangus syndactylus (siamang)
Lineage: Eukaryota; Metazoa; Chordata; Mammalia; Primates; Hylobatidae
Source: RefSeq, a predicted model, not a curated record
CUGCCGAGAGUGUCCUCAGCGCCAGCAUUUCCUGGCCUAAUUAAGCUGGGUAAUGAGUAGCUAAGAGGAGGGGAUAAAAGCCCUAGGUGGCUUAAAGCUGGGACAGUUUAUGACAGGGGCGUCUGCAGCUGGUGACAUUCCUAGGAAAGUUAUUUCUCAUAACCCUGGGAAGUUGCAUGCUGUUUCCUCAGCAGCAGAGUAAGACCCAAAGGACAUUCUGAUUGUCAUAACUGCGGGAGGCAGCCAACUUGCUACUUCACCUGGAGAGUAGAGGCUGAGGAUGCUGCUGAACAUCCCACAGUGCCCAGGACAGCCUCCAAAUCAAAGAAAUAUCUGGCGCAAAUGUCAGCGGUGCCGAGGAUGAGAAGCCCUGCCGGGCAAGUGGGAAGAAGAGCUCUGCCCACUGAUUCCUCCUGGCAGAAAAGUUCCCACUGGGCUCCUCUCUACCCUGCCCAGUGGGUCUGCAGCUGUUUUGUUUCCAGGAGCCUGAGAGAGAGACAGAAGCAGCUGGGAGGAGAAAAAGCAACGCGGCCAGGGGCCCUACUGGUCCUUCUGCCUUAGCCACAGGUUCUGAAACCAAAGCAAAACCACCAGAGAGUGAUUCAU